This 251-nucleotide ribosomal RNA is filed under the name uncultured Megamonas sp. RNAcentral describes it as "partial 16S ribosomal RNA". It matches the Rfam family "Bacterial small subunit ribosomal RNA", at positions 105 to 339 of the family's 1533-position model. Lineage: Bacteria; Bacillati; Bacillota; Negativicutes; Selenomonadales; Selenomonadaceae. The record is from RNAcentral.
GGUGAGUAACGCGUAAGCAAUCUACCUUCAAGAUGGGGACAACACUUCGAAAGGGGUGCUAAUACCGAAUGAAUGUAAGAGUAUCGCAUGAGACACUUACUAAAGGAGGCCUCUGACAUAAGCUUCCGCUUGAAGAUGAGCUUGCGUCUGAUUAGCUAGUUGGUGAGGGUAAAGGCCCACCAAGGCGACGAUCAGUAGCCGGUCUGAGAGGAUGAACGGCCACAUUGGGACUGAGACACGGCCCAGACUCC